UCCUACGUUACCAGAAUACGAGCAGAAGACGCAGACUGGACUGACACUCUGUCUGCAACAGGAGAUUAUAAAGACUGCAGUGGAAAUGGCCUAAGAGCAGAGCCUGCACCAAAAGCAGAUCCACAGAGGAGCUCUGCAGCCCAACCCCUCUCUCAAUAGUGAAUCAUCCCUGUGAUUGUGCCAUUGACCAUGAACAGUUGAUUGUACUGUACAACCUCACUUGACCUGAACAUGAAGCCCUGAAGAAUUACUGUACAUCCAGGGUUACCUCACAUUAGGAAUGCUUUUAAUCAGUUCUGCUCUUGCCUCUCUAUGCAGUGCUUACUCAUCCGCAUCUGUGAAGGUGAUGAGUGAAAAACAGCAUUCAGCACUACGCUGGGACACUCAACAGGUUCCCGGGUCCAUGGCUGCAGAGGGGGAAUGAUGAGACUCUGCAGUUGCUGCUUUUAAAGUGCCUUUAGGAUUUACUCUAGAUCAAGUAGUCUCCAUAACCAUAAGUAUUGACAACAUCUCCACCUCUCUAACUUUCACAGGACAGCUGUGGCUCAGAAGGUAGAGCGGAUUAUUAUCCUGAACACUAGAGGCCUUUAACAAAAAUUCCUUAAGUCUAUAUAGUCUCCUGCCCUGUCUCAGCCCCUGCAUAUUCCCUAUGAUUGUGCCAUUUACCUUGAACAGUAAGUUGCCCAACCUCUCUUGACCUGAACAUGAAUUACAUCUAGGGUUACCUCUUGUGAAGAAUAAUAUGUGCUGGUUUCUUAUUUGUUGGGAAUAAGGAUGGUACUCUGUGUAGACUUCCGUGGUCUUAAUAAACAAUAUCUGAUGCCUUUAAUCAGUUCUGCUUUUGUCUGUCUCUGCAGUGCUUACUCAUCCGCAUUUUGGUAUCUGAUCACAGGUUCACAGCUGCCCUGAACUGCGGACACACAUUUAAAACUAUUUAAAACUAUUUAAAAUGCAGCUGGGGUUGAUUGAGGACUCCCGAUUGGUCAAAUCACAGCCACACCAAACACAGACGCCAGGGUACAGCAACCAGGAAGUAGGCGGUCCUGGCUCCAAAAAGGACCAAUCCUCGACAGGGAAUCACACAGCUGGUUUUGUCUAACCGGCAGAAUCACUCCUGGAAACACAAUUAGUACAUGCUAAAUGGCAGCCAACUGGACUUUCCUUUACAUUUAGUCAUUUAGCUGACGCUUUUAUCCAAAGCGACUUUCAGAGAAGGGAAGUUUCACGCUGGCCAGGAGGUGUGCAGAAAAGCAGGUCAAUUUUUAUUUAGUCAUCAAACGAAGGUUGUCUUUUAACACAGAAAAAUAGGGGGAUGCUCUUCCCAUAACACACAAAACUGAAAAAAA
Larimichthys crocea (large yellow croaker) is the source of this 1346-nucleotide long non-coding RNA. RefSeq lists it as uncharacterized. The record is from RefSeq and is a predicted model, not a curated record. The transcript has 2 exons. NCBI's taxonomy places the organism in Eukaryota, Metazoa, Chordata, Actinopteri, Sciaenidae.